Molecule: ribosomal RNA, 433 nt
Filed under: uncultured bacterium
Lineage: Bacteria
Description: partial 16S ribosomal RNA
Rfam family: Bacterial small subunit ribosomal RNA
Source: RNAcentral
AACGAACGCUGGCGGCAGGCCUAACACAUGCAAGUCGAGCGGACCCUUCGGGGUUAGCGGCGGACGGGUGAGUAACGCGUGGGAAUAUGCCCUUCUCUACGGAAUAGUCCUGGGAAACUGGGGGUAAUACCGUAUACGCCCUUUGGGGGAAAGAUUUAUCGGGGAAGGAUUAGCCCGCGUUGGAUUAGGUAGUUGGUGGGGUAAUGGCCUACCAAGCCGACGAUCCAUAGCUGGUUUGAGAGGAUGAUCAGCCACACUGGGACUGAGACACGGCCCAGACUCCUACGGGAGGCAGCAGUGGGGAAUCUUAGACGAUGGGGGCAACCCUGAUCUAGCCAUGCCGCGUGAGUGAUGAAGGCCUUAGGGUUGUAAAGCUCUUUCAGCUGGGAAGAUAAUGACGGUACCAGCAGAAGAAGCCCCGGCUAACUCCGUG